AAAGAGGAAUGUAGAGAAAGGAGAUCUUGUGUUUGCCUGAAUACAUGUCUCAUAAGGCUCACUUCCUACUCAUGGGUUCAAUGAUAUACUUCUUUAACUUUUCAAGAAAUUUUCUCCUUCUGCUCUAUUUAGUUUGAAUGGUUUACUGCUAUUUUAUGAUUCAUGACUAAGACUUCCUUCUGUUUAGUGGCAAAUUGUCUAAAAUGACCAAGAAAACACCGUACUUAUUCUCACAAUGAACUGCAACUUAUGGUUUUUGAGGCUCCUAUAGACCUGACCAACAUGAGAGGCUAGAGAAAGAGUUCACAUACCCAACAACGAUUUGAAAGUCUGGUUCAGGAUCUACCCAGCCACAGGAAGAACAAGAGCCACAGCUUUAUCUAAGCUUUGCUGAAGUCCUGAAUGCACUGAAAAGAGCCAAAUUCCAGACCUGCUGGCAAUGAACUGUGCUUCAUUCCUCAUGUAUGAACUCAGCGUUGGGAUGAAUCUCUCCCAGUGGAAAGAAACAGGCAAAGAAACGUGGAAAUUUGUACAGCUUGGUUAUUGUACAGAUUGAGGAAGGUGGACUCAUUGCAUUUGGAAUAAAAGAUGGGUUUUCCUCCUUUGGCAGUAUUUUUAAAAAGAUAAAAUUUAUGAUCACAAUAAAUGUCAAGCUAAUUAACUACUACAAAGCACCACUUUUCUUUAUGUAUCUACUCCCUUUUAUAAACAAAACUAAUUGGAAGAAUGGUAAAGACGCUAUAAAAAUUCAGAGACUUUUAAGCCAGGAGUGAUUGUUAUCUGCCAUGCUGUGAGCCAGCAUUUUUGGUUUCCUGCCUGCCAGACUUCUUUGUGUUCCACCUUCGUUCCCCAAUUUUUCAAGCUCCCAGCUCACUCUGCC
Molecule: long non-coding RNA, 880 nt
Filed under: Homo sapiens (human)
Lineage: Eukaryota; Metazoa; Chordata; Mammalia; Primates; Hominidae
Description: HSALNT0095730
Source: RNAcentral